AGGCCCGUAGUUCAAUUGGCAGAGCACCUGACUUUGGCUCAGGAUGUUGCUGGUUCGAGUCCAGCCGGGCCUGCCA
This 76-nucleotide transfer RNA is filed under the name Planctomycetota bacterium. RNAcentral describes it as "tRNA-Gln". It matches the Rfam family "tRNA". From Rfam's summary of the family: Transfer RNA (tRNA) molecules are approximately 80 nucleotides in length. Their secondary structure includes four short double-helical elements and three loops (D, anti-codon, and T loops). Further hydrogen bonds mediate the characteristic L-shaped molecular structure. tRNAs have two regions of fundamental functional importance: the anti-codon, which is responsible for specific mRNA codon recognition, and the 3' end, to which the tRNAs corresponding amino acid is attached (by aminoacyl-tRNA synthetases). tRNAs cope with the degeneracy of the genetic code in two manners: having more than one tRNA (with a specific anti-codon) for a particular amino acid; and 'wobble' base-pairing, i.e. permitting non-standard base-pairing at the 3rd anti-codon position. Lineage: Bacteria; Pseudomonadati; Planctomycetota. The record is from RNAcentral.